UAUGAACUAUGAAGGAAAGAAGGGGCAGUAUUCUCACUAGCAGUGGCUGAUGUGAGACAUUAACGUACCAGUAGGUCAUGUGGGUGAACAGUCGGUCUGUAAAGUUCAUCAAGGACUAUCUAACAACUGAGGAAAUACAAUGCUCAAAAUACAGAAGAACCUGUUCAGAUAGUUAAAGGGUCAAAUGAGAUCCGGCACCAAUAGGAAUGGUAUGAAAUAUGAUCCUGGGGCCUCUGUCCUUUUGUGUCAAGCACAAAGAAACAAGCGAGACAAAGAAACAGCCCAUGUAACCAAGCUCCGAACAAGAUUUAAACAACCGACGUGGUGAACAUCAAUCUUAGGAUGUGUUACAUGAAAUGGAGUCAUACUCCAGAAGAAAUGCUGGUUAUAUUUUAAAAGACCGCUUUGUCUAAAGAAAAUGCCAAGUGGAAUUUCCAUGCAGUAAGUGAUCUUUCUACAAGAAGCUGGCAAGACAAAAGCAACAACGAGAAAAGGUGAAGAGUGGCUCGUGUGAAGUGAAGUUACAGCAUUAUAACCUCUAAAAAAUAAAACAAACAUAAAAAAGGA
Long non-coding RNA from Chinchilla lanigera (long-tailed chinchilla), 567 nucleotides. RefSeq lists it as uncharacterized. The record is from RefSeq and is a predicted model, not a curated record. NCBI's taxonomy places the organism in Eukaryota, Metazoa, Chordata, Mammalia, Rodentia, Chinchillidae. The transcript is spliced from 3 exons.